CAGGCCGGGCAGGAGGCGGAUGGGCAGCUCCGGGCUGUGCUCCGUGAGCCCGGCAGCUCGGGCAAUGGGAGCUCGGCUUUCCCGGCUGGAAUCCUGCUGGACGAGUUUCCCAGGAUGUCGGGGGCUGUGAGCACCACCCCGGCUCCUGAAGGAUCACCCUGCUGAGCCGGGUUGGGAGCCUGAGUCAGCACCAGCACAGCCGGUUCUGCCGGACUGGACCACGCUGGGUCAGGAGCAGGAUGUCCCGGG
Molecule: non-coding RNA, 249 nt
Organism: Pseudopodoces humilis (Tibetan ground-tit)
Lineage: Eukaryota; Metazoa; Chordata; Aves; Passeriformes; Paridae
Source: RefSeq, a predicted model, not a curated record